RNAcentral lists this ribosomal RNA (462 nucleotides) under Triticum aestivum (bread wheat). RNAcentral's name for it is "partial small subunit ribosomal RNA". The record is from RNAcentral. Lineage: Eukaryota; Viridiplantae; Streptophyta; Magnoliopsida; Poales; Poaceae.
GUGAAACCUGCUAAAUCCAAUGAUCCCAUUGAUAUCUUGAACAUUAAGUUGAAGAGAUUUAAGAAGUUUUUUAAAGGCUGGGGGUCCAGUAUUUUUGGGAAAUCUAGAAAAAAGAGGAGAGAACUAAGAGAGGAACUGGAGUAUCUAGAGAAACUAGAAGAAGCAGAUGUGCUAUCUCCUGAAUUGUAUUGUAGGGAAGUUGAAAUUUUGGUGGAGCUUUAUAAUCUCCCGGUUGAAGAGGAAAUUGCUUGGUUGCAAAAGUCUCAUGAAAGUUGGUUGUUGAAAGGGGAUAGAAACACUGACUAUUUUCAUAGAAUAGUGAAUGGGAGGAGACAGAGGAACACCAUAUUCUCUCUUAGUUGUGGUGAUGCGGUGAUAGAGGGGACCAAAUAUUUAUUGAAACAUGCUAUCGAAUUCUACAAAGACCUUUUUGGGCCUGCAACCGGGAAUCUUUGUAAGUAG